AAAAAAUGAUGAGGGAGAUAUACAUUGUUAUCAAAUCUUUAUUAUUAAACUCAUUAAUUGUCAUAUAUAUAUUAGUCAUUUAUGGUAAUUCCGUAGGUUUUAUUUAAGGAAAAAAAAUAUCAUAUCAUAUCAUUAUAUCAUAUAGUUUGACCAACUUAUGUAUCUAACAAUAUAUAAAAAUCGAAUGUGGACCUACUUAUUUUUCAAUUGAAUGUAAUUGACUACCUAAUUGAGUGCCACCUAUGCAUUGGGGCCUCUUUUAAUUAAUACAAAAUUGAGGUUACAUCUUUUCAAAUGUUCCUCAAUUAAUAUAUAAGG
This 318-nucleotide long non-coding RNA is filed under the name Brassica napus (rape). Its description in RNAcentral is "long non-coding RNA (BNAP_LNC006174)". The record is from RNAcentral. Lineage: Eukaryota; Viridiplantae; Streptophyta; Magnoliopsida; Brassicales; Brassicaceae.